Long non-coding RNA from Malus domestica (apple), 419 nucleotides. RefSeq lists it as uncharacterized. Lineage: Eukaryota; Viridiplantae; Streptophyta; Magnoliopsida; Rosales; Rosaceae. The record is from RefSeq and is a predicted model, not a curated record.
CGCACGCACCCGUCUCCCCCGCGCGAAGAAGACCCAUCUCCUUCUUCUCUCUCCCUCUGUCCCGUGCUGCGAGCCCAGAAACCGGAGAGGAACUCCGGCGAAACCUUUAUUUUCCCGGUUGGGACGAAUCGAAGCCGGGUGUAAGCACACCCAACUCCGGCGAUCCCGAGGGUGUCGGGGCUUUUUCCGGCCAUCUCCGGUCGUUCCACGACGAAAGGAAGGACCUACGAACGAGGAUUACGAUAUAAGCUACGAGGCCUUUCCCUACCAGUGAUCCAGUGCUAUACUUCUUCUGCUUCGACAUCUUUUGUAAUAUAGCACAUCUCUAUCUUAAAUUAUGUUUGUACUCUGUAAUAGACGUAUGCUCUGACAUUAUGCGUGGAUCCUAAUGUUGUUAAUUAGAAGUUGAUUUGGUAGUA